This 421-nucleotide ribosomal RNA is filed under the name uncultured Pelagibacterales bacterium. RNAcentral's name for it is "bacterial SSU rRNA". It matches the Rfam family "Bacterial small subunit ribosomal RNA", at positions 395 to 833 of the family's 1533-position model. Lineage: Bacteria; Pseudomonadati; Pseudomonadota; Alphaproteobacteria; Candidatus Pelagibacterales. The record is from RNAcentral.
UGCCGCGUGAGUGAAGAAGGCCUUUGGGUUGUAAAGCUCUUUCGUCGGGGAAGAAAAUGACUGUACCCGAAUAAGAAGGUCCGGCUAACUUCGUGCCAGCAGCCGCGGUAAUACGAAGGGACCUAGCGUAGUUCGGAAUUACUGGGCUUAAAGAGCUCGUAGGUGGUUAAAAAAGUUGGUGGUGAAAUCCCAAAGCUUAACUCUGGAACUGCCAUCAAAACUUUUUAACUAGAGUAUGAUAGAGGAAAGCGGAAUUUCUAGUGUAGAGGUGAAAUUCGUAGAUAUUAGAAAGAAUACCAAUUGCGAAGGCAGCUUUCUGGAUCAUUACUGACACUGAGGAGCGAAAGCAUGGGUAGCGAAGAGGAUUAGAUACCCUCGUAGUCCAUGCCGUAAACGAUGUGUGCUAGACGUUGGAAAUUUA